Canis lupus familiaris (dog) is the source of this 1337-nucleotide long non-coding RNA. RefSeq lists it as uncharacterized. The transcript is spliced from 2 exons. Lineage: Eukaryota; Metazoa; Chordata; Mammalia; Carnivora; Canidae. The record is from RefSeq and is a predicted model, not a curated record.
CCGUGUCUUAAGCCCGCCCCCUCCACGCGGGCCGGAGCGUUCCCGUGCGCCGGGUGCCCGGGGGCCUCGCGGUCAGGGCCUCCACACAGUGCCCUGGCGCGGACAGGGGGGCUGUAGUCCGCCUGUGGGGGCGGAAGCUCGGUACUUGGGAGCCGCGUCCACACCGGCCGACGCCAGGAUACGGGAGGCGCCGCGCACACAUCAGGGCCGGAGCCAGGGCCUGCCACCUCGAGGCCAAGUAGCAUGGGGUCGCGGAGGUUCAGCAGGUCCCGAAGAGCGAGGAGCACGGGCGCGCACUGAACACUCUCCUCCAGGCCCUGAGCACCGCGGAGUAGGUCUCGAGUCCCCCUUCGGCCCCCGCCCAACCACUGAGACUCCCGCCCAGCUGCUCCCCUAACGGACUCUCACCAAGCCGAGGAAGAGCUCCCGAAGCUGGGCCGCGUCGUGCUGCAGGCGCUCGGCCGCCCGGGUCCUCUCGUCCGCGCCUCGGCACACCAGGCGGCCCUGCAUCAGCGCGCGCAGGUACUGCAGUACCACCGUACGUUCCGCCUCGGCCAGGAGCAGCUGCGGAGAGCGCAGUGGGUCCAGCAUGCCUUUUCCGUGGGCGCUUCCCUACUCCACAGUCUUCCCCUUCAACGCACCUGGACCGCAGGAUUCCGCACGCGCCUGAAAUCCUGGCAGAAGCGCUCCGUCCUCUUGCACACGUCGUCCAGCAGCUCUGGGCUCGAAAGCCACCGGCGUGAGGGCAGAGCCGUGAACAGGGGCUGCGGGAUGGGGGAGCAGAAACAGGGCUGGAGGAACAACCAGACCUAGCAUUCCUCCAGACCUAGCAUUCAUACACACGUGUAUGCUGAAUCUCUUCCUCCCACCCCCAUCCCCACCUGAAGCCUUACCUGGAGCUCGGCCAGCAGCGCCUCCAACACCAGGCGGCAGACCCUUCUCUGCAACUCGUCCAGCGCUGCCUCCACCGGAGCCAAAGCUCCUGAAGCCACCCCGUCGGGCUGCAGGACUGACACUGAGGAGCUGGACAGACCGAAAGUUAAGGCUUCAGGACCAAGGCCAAGGCCCUCGCGGCCCUCUGUUGUGUAGCCACUCUGACGCCACCUGGUGGUGCAAGUGUGUGGCGAGAUGGGGCAAGGGGGGGCUCUCAACCCUUCUGAAGAUCUGGGGCUUGGAUUAAGGACGGGAGUGGUGGGCUCAGACAGCUAGCAGGAACCCAACCAGACCUGCUUCAAAUUCAAAAUGUGACUUCGAGCAAGUCGUAUCUUUUGUUCUCCGUUUGGGUAAAGAAAGAGUUUAAUCUCAAUCAGGAGGGAAUAAAACUCAUCAUUAGCUUG